This 242-nucleotide long non-coding RNA is filed under the name Lathyrus oleraceus (garden pea). RNAcentral describes it as "Pisum sativum (pea) long non-coding RNA (PSAT_LNC032437)". The record is from RNAcentral. Lineage: Eukaryota; Viridiplantae; Streptophyta; Magnoliopsida; Fabales; Fabaceae.
UUCUUAAAUAUCUUAAUGAAGAUAAAAAAAGUUUGAAGCUUGAAUCUUGAAUUUUUUUUAACAAUGUUAGUUAUAAAAUAAAAUAAAAAUCAACACAAUACUUAACAAAUAAAAAAUGAAAAAUGAAAAUGAAAAAUUUGGGCUCUCUUGAAAUACCUUUUAAUUUGAAAAUGAAAAUCGAAAGCUGAAAUUUAAGAAAGAAGAGACAAAAUGUUAGAGGAGAAAAAAUGCUGGAAGAGAAA